This 253-nucleotide ribosomal RNA is filed under the name uncultured bacterium. RNAcentral describes it as "partial 16S ribosomal RNA". It matches the Rfam family "Bacterial small subunit ribosomal RNA", at positions 524 to 776 of the family's 1533-position model. The record is from RNAcentral.
UACGUAGGUGGCAAGCGUUGUCCGGAAUCACUGGGCGUAAAGGGCGCGUAGGCGGCUUCUCAAGCGUGUGGUGAAAGUCCGGGGCUCAACCCCGGAUCGGCCGUGCGGACUGGGGAGCUCGAGUUCUGUAGAGGCGGGUGGAAUUCCGGGUGUAGCGGUGGAAUGCGUAGAGAUCCGGAAGAACACCGGUGGCGAAGGCGGCCCGCUGGGCAGAGACUGACGCUGAGGCGCGAAAGCGUGGGGAGCAAACAGG